GACGAACGCUGGCGGCGUGCUUAACACAUGCAAGUCGAGCGAGGCCUCACCUUCGGGUGAGUGUCCUAGCGGCGAACGGGUGAGUAACACGUGGGCAACCUGCCCCUAGCACUGGGAUAACCCCGGGAAACCGGGGCUAAUACCGGAUACGACCGCGGAAGGCAUCUUCUGCGGUGGAAAGGGUUACUGGCUAGGGAUGGGCCCGCGGCCUAUCAGCUUGUUGGUGGGGUAACGGCCCACCAAGGCGACGACGGGUAGCCGGCCUGAGAGGGCGACCGGCCACACUGGGACUGAGACACGGCCCAGACUCCUACGGGAGGCAGCAGUGGGGAAUAUUGCACAAUGGGCGAAAGCCUGAUGCAGCGACGCCGCGUGAGGGAUGACGGCCUUCGGGUUGUAAACCUCUUUCAGCUCCGACGAAGCGAAAGUGACGGUACCAGCAGAAGAAGCACCGGCCAACUACGUGCCAGCCGCCGCGGUAAUAC
This 485-nucleotide ribosomal RNA is filed under the name uncultured bacterium. Its description in RNAcentral is "bacterial SSU rRNA". It matches the Rfam family "Bacterial small subunit ribosomal RNA", at positions 28 to 526 of the family's 1533-position model. The record is from RNAcentral.